CCCAACUUGUGCUUUCUCUCUCUCUCUCUCUCUCUCUGUCUCUCAAAAUAAAUAAACUUAAAAAAAACAAAGUUAACCUGUAUCUGGCUUGCAGAAGGGCAAUUCUUGGAAGGAGAGAGCAAAGAUGUAGGGGGACUGAUGUCCUAGCCAGCCGACACCUUCACGGUGGCCCUAUGAAGACAUAGAAAGUUCUGGUAGGCUUAUGGAAGAGUCCGAGACUUAUCCAGGGUAAAGGGGCAAAGGAGAGCCCCAUGUCUCAGAAGGAAAGAUGGAAAGGUGGUGAGGAAGUGAAGCUGGAGGGCUGGUCACAGGAGCCUCAGCUGAGUCAGAGCUGGGAUCCUGACGAAGCUAAGAUAUAAAUAUUGUGAGAGGCCUGUCAUCUACCACUCAGCCUGCCCCCAAAGUGCUUAUACAUAUGACUCCUGGACGACAGUGGAACACUUUCGUUGUUCAUUCACUCACGCGUUCAGCAACUAAUAAGUUCUCACCAUGUGCCGGCCAUGGUGCUGUGCCUCUCAGCGUGCAGGCAUCAGGAAGACGUGGUCUGCCCUCUCAAGGAUGAAGGGGUCUACUAGAGAUACAAACAAAUGCUACGUGACUGCAGAGGUGGAAACAGUGAACUGUGCCCGGAGGAAUAAGAGAAAGCUUCAUGGAGGAGACCGGCCUUAAAAGACUCUGUGAGCCACGAAGAGCCAUAAAGGAGCAGGCUGAGGACGGAAGACAGCGAAGCUUUCUUAUGCCACGUGAUCCAGGCCAAUGGCUUAAACGUUUUACAUCAUUACUCCUAUGUGCCUGCCUCUGGGACACAUUCUGUUGAUUUACUGGCUUCCUGGAAGAAAAGGUACCAUUUACCUGAAGGUAACCUCGCUGAAAAAGAGCUUCGAGUCUACAAAACUCUGUGGUUCUUGACCUCUUGCUGCGGCAGCAAAACAAAACAAAAACAAAGAAGCAAAACCAGUUUCCUGGAAACCUCAUGGGUCUUUUGACUUGUUCUUGACGUUCAGUGGGGUUGUCAAAGCUAAGGAGAUACUGAACAAACUCUACCCAGUUCGGUUUGGGCAGGUAAAACUCGUCAGUGCUGUGGCCAGACCUUCGCCCUCCACACAGAUGCAGGAUCCUAGCGUUGGUUCCGGUCGCCUUGGGUACUGGAAGACCCAAGGUUCCAGUCGCCUUGGGUACUGGGUGCUGCCUCUUCUGUGAGAGGCAGCAUCCUAGCCUUGACCAGAGUGGAGAAAGGUCCAAGAACUGAGGACCCCGUCCAGGGUCAGAAAGUCGCAAACUGGGGAUGAGCCCAGAGGAAGGGGUGCAACAUACUUCCGUACUGUCCACCAGGACCCCACUUCCUGACAGGGGGAAGUGAUUCUGUGGGGUCCAUUCUUCCUGCAUCCUCUUUAAACAUCUCCAAGCACCCCCACCAAAGCCCUGAGGAGACCUCUGAAGCCACCCUUUCUCUCCUGUUAGCUGUAAACAGCUGCUAGCAGCCCAGAGUGGGAUAAAGAAAGUCAGAGCCCAAGAGAGGCCUCCACAGUGUCAGCACCCCGGGUUCUGUCCAGCCUAGAAUCUGACGGCUGAGACCCCCAGGCACAGUGUGGGGCAGGGACCACGAGGGGCCUCCUCCACACCCUCCAAAGGCAGAGCGGGGCCAGAACAUCCAGGGAACGGCUUUCGUGAUGUGUCCCAAUUCUUCUCCUGUGAGCUCACUGUAUUUCCCACCGGGGCCACAUCAGGGAAGAGUGAAGUUCGUAAGUUGACUUCCCACUGCCUAAAGUGGACACAUCUUUUUCUCCCAAAAGACCCACUGUACCAACUUGAAUUUGAUAACCUAACAAAGAGAAGAAGCAAAUGAUUAUGAUUGGGAUCUGCGAUGUACUAAAGCCUUUGCUAAGUGUGCACUUUUGCUAAAUUGUUUCACAGCAUACCUAUUAUGUAAGAAGGAUUACCCCCAUCUUACAGGUGAGGAGCUAGGUUUGAAUCCUAUGUGGAUUAAAGCUUAGCCUGUUCUCCAUUUUCUCUUGCUGCCAAGUCCGUAAUGUCAUUAUAUGCUGCCUUAUAGCGACCUCUGUCUUUCCAAAUUAAAGAGCCCUCUUAUUUUGAUGCCCCACCUUGGUUUCUGUGUAGAGGAGGGCUAGGGAUCUAAACAUAUUGGCUGGAAGCCAAUAAAUCCCUCAUCAAAUAUUCGUUGAGACCCUCCGAGAGAGAGAUCCCAUCUGCAAGGACAGAGCUACCCAUUUCGGAAUAGGGAAAAACAUGUCCAUUGUCAUGUCUUCCUUGUAGCCAGGCCCCAGAGGUGUGGGUUGUCAUUUCGAGAUGCAGAACAAACAUCGCAGAAUAACUCUAAGGACCUGGUGAUCUCCCCCCCCACUACAGCACCAUCGCAUACCAGUGAGCCCCAAAGCAGCCUUCUUCAGUGUUGGCAAAUGUGUUAGUGGAGGCAGACAUUGUUAGGUCCCCCGACCAACGGUGCCUUGCUUUGCUUCUUGAUGUCUUCACUUGGACCCAGAGGAAGACAGCCAGCACUGGCAGAGCAACAUGGGAGCGUCCUGGUGAGAAGCUUAGGUAGCCUGGCACACUGAGGCAGCCCACACUUUAGGUAGCAGAACUGAUUGAAUAUCGUGAUUCACCCUCUCCUUGGCUUUCAGCCCUCAUCGACUCUUCCAGGAAGGAAGCCACACAGAGGAAGAGAGGGAGGCGGGAGGGGAGGAAGGACCAUUCCCACGGCGAGAAGGUCCCUGACCUGUGAUGGGGGAGGAUGGGAUCUAAGGGCUGGCUGCUGAGAGAGGCAAGGAAAGCUGGGUGCUUUGGAGCCAAAGCGCUCAUUAUGAGAAGUUUCUUAAUGACCGUAAGUCCUCAGGGAGGCACGUGGGCAAUGUGUGGUGCCAAACAUGCCUGCCCGGGGCCUCCCGUCCAGAUGGAAAACGUGUAGAGAGUUAGGAGAGGAGAAGAAAUGGCGUGGUUGCUGAAGGUGACUGAUGGCCUUGGGACAGCAAAUCAGGCUCCUGUGGGAUCAGUUUUUCCUGGAACCAGACACAAAGAUUAGUGACUUUCAGAUGAGAAGGAACCUCAGGUCCUGGUUUUUGGAACAGAGUUUCUUUGCGGUUCCUUGAGGGUUUCGUUUGUGUUCACCUCCAGACUUUCUCUUGUGACCUUUCUUCCUUCU
Long non-coding RNA from Lynx canadensis (Canada lynx), 3157 nucleotides. RefSeq lists it as uncharacterized. The record is from RefSeq and is a predicted model, not a curated record. The transcript is spliced from 3 exons. Lineage: Eukaryota; Metazoa; Chordata; Mammalia; Carnivora; Felidae.